RNAcentral lists this ribosomal RNA (323 nucleotides) under Escherichia coli. Its description in RNAcentral is "bacterial SSU rRNA". It matches the Rfam family "Bacterial small subunit ribosomal RNA", at positions 530 to 852 of the family's 1533-position model. The record is from RNAcentral. Lineage: Bacteria; Pseudomonadati; Pseudomonadota; Gammaproteobacteria; Enterobacterales; Enterobacteriaceae.
GGUCCCGAGCGUUGUCCGGAUUUAUUGGGCGUAAAGCGAGCGCAGGCGGUUUGAUAAGUCUGAAGUAAAAGGCUGUGGCUUAACCAUAGUACGCUUUGGAAACUGUCAAACUUGAGUGCAGAAGGGGAGAGUGGAAUUCCAUGUGUAGCGGUGAAAUGCGUAGAUAUAUGGAGGAACACCGGUGGCGAAAGCGGCUCUCUGGUCUGUAACUGACGCUGAGGCUCGAAAGCGUGGGGAGCGAACAGGAUUAGAUACCCUGGUAGUCCACGCCGUAAACGAUGAGUGCUAGGUGUUGGGUCCUUUCCGGGACUCAGUGCCGCAGC